UACGAAGGGGGCUAGCGUUGCUCGGAAUCACUGGGCGUAAAGGGUGCGUAGGCGGGUCUUUAAGUCAGGGGUGAAAUCCUGGAGCUCAACUCCAGAACUGCCUUUGAUACUGAGGAUCUUGAGUUCGGGAGAGGUGAGUGGAACUGCGAGUGUAGAGGUGAAAUUCGUAGAUAUUCGCAAGAACACCAGUGGCGAAGGCGGCUCACUGGCCCGGUACUGACGCUGAGGUGCGAAAGCGCGGGGAGCAAACAGG
Molecule: ribosomal RNA, 253 nt
Filed under: uncultured bacterium
Lineage: Bacteria
Description: partial 16S ribosomal RNA
Rfam family: Bacterial small subunit ribosomal RNA
Source: RNAcentral